ACGGGAGGCAGCAGUGAGGAAUAUUGGUCAAUGGACGGAAGUCUGAACCAGCCAUCUCGCGUGCAGGAUUACAGCCCUAUGGGUUUUAAACUGCUUUUAUAAGGGGAUAAAGUUAGAUAUGUAUAUCUAUUUGCAGGUACCUUAUGAAUAAGGAUCGGCUAACUCCGUGCCAGCAGCCGCGGUAAUACGGAGGAUCCGAGCGUUAUCCGGAUUUAUUGGGUUUAAAGGGUGCGCAGGCGGCACGUUAAGUCAGCGGUGAAAUGUCGGGGCUCAACCCGGGCACUGCCGUUGAAACUGGCGAGCUUGAGUACGGAUGAAGUCGGCGGAAUGUGAUGUGUAGCGGUGAAAUGCUUAGAUAUGUCACAGAACACCGAUUGCGAAGGCAGCUGACUAAUCCGCAACUGACGCUCAGGCACGAAAGCGUGGGGAUCGAACAGGAUUAGAUACCCUGGUA
This 454-nucleotide ribosomal RNA is filed under the name uncultured Solitalea sp. Its description in RNAcentral is "partial 16S ribosomal RNA". It matches the Rfam family "Bacterial small subunit ribosomal RNA", at positions 341 to 792 of the family's 1533-position model. The record is from RNAcentral. Lineage: Bacteria; Pseudomonadati; Bacteroidota; Sphingobacteriia; Sphingobacteriales; Sphingobacteriaceae.